RNAcentral lists this unclassified non-coding RNA (520 nucleotides) under uncultured Glomus. RNAcentral describes it as "SSU rRNA". It matches the Rfam family "Eukaryotic small subunit ribosomal RNA", at positions 569 to 1089 of the family's 1831-position model. Lineage: Eukaryota; Fungi; Glomeromycota; Glomeromycetes; Glomerales; Glomeraceae. The record is from RNAcentral.
AGUAGCCGCGGUAAUUCCAGCUCCAAUAGCGUAUAUUAAAGUUGUUGCAGUUAAAAAGCUCGUAGUUGAAUUUCGGAAUCAAUGGAUCGGUCAUGCCACUCGGUGUGUACUGGUUUGAUUGGUUCUCACCUUCUAAGGAACCGUGAUGUCAUUAAUUUGGUGUCGCGGGGAAUUAGGACUGUUACCUUGAAAAAAUUAGAGUGUUUAAAGCAAGCUCACGCUUGAAUACAUUAGCAUGGAAUAAUGAAAUAGGACAUUGUAUUCUAUUUUGUUGGUUUCUAGGAUCGAUGUAAUGAUUAAUAGGGAUAGUUGGGGGCAUUAGUAUUCAAUUGUCAGAGGUGAAAUUCUUGGAUUUAUUGAAGACUAACUACUGCGAAAGCAUUUGCCAAGGAUGUUUUCAUUAAUCAAGAACGAAAGUUAGGGGAUCGAAGACGAUCAGAUACCGUCGUAGUCUUAACCAUAAACUAUGCCGACUAGGGAUCGGAUGAUGUUAAUUUUUUAAUGACUCAUUCGGCGCCUU